GGCGAGGUAGCUCAGUUGGUAGAGCAGGGGACUGAAAAUCCCCGUGUCGGCGGUUCGAGUCCGUCCCUCGCCA
RNAcentral lists this transfer RNA (73 nucleotides) under bacterium. Its description in RNAcentral is "tRNA-Phe". It matches the Rfam family "tRNA". From Rfam's summary of the family: Transfer RNA (tRNA) molecules are approximately 80 nucleotides in length. Their secondary structure includes four short double-helical elements and three loops (D, anti-codon, and T loops). The record is from RNAcentral. RNAcentral also lists the same sequence under 1 other name.